GAGUUUUUAAAGUUUAUGUUGGAGGAAGUGGGAUGCCAACAUGACAAGACUGUGUUUGAUGUGUGGAGUUGAAGUAACCUCAUCGAAUGCUUCGCCUUGGCGGCCGGCUGGGAGAACUUAUUAGGCCUCCCACCGGCAGUGGCACUGAGGAUGUGGAACCAUCUGCAGCGUCGUGGAAGUGGUUCUCCUUGAUGAAGGAGGAAGGCCUCGUCCUGAGAGGAGAGCCCUUCCACAUCUUCUGCACCAUCCCCUACCUCAGUGCCACCAGAGCGGACAGGGGAAGAGGAGGAGACAGAAGCCAAGGGGCCACGGCGGGGUGGCCUUUUCAGUCUCCUCCAGCAGGCAGAGAGGAGGAGAGGGCCAGGAGAGAGGAAGAAAGAGGACAAAGGGGGAGCAACGAGAGCUGCUCCCAUGUGGGGAUAAAACAAGCCCUCAGCAACUGGCAUCCAGGAGCUGAUUGGUGGGACAUCGAUUGGCUCACUAAUGGGGGCACUGUAUGCUGAGGACCGCAGCCACAGUCGAAUGAGGAUCAGGGCUAGAGAAUGAGCAAUGGUGUUGAACAUGGUAGAAAUCACUUAAGCCUGGCGUUCCUGUGGUACCCGAGGUACGUGGAGUCGGUGAAGAACAGCGAGUAUUGUGAAUACAUCCUGGCUCCGAACGAUAGACAUCGGACUUUGGAGUUUUUAAAGUUUAUGUUGGAGGAAGUGGGAUGCCAACAUGACAAGACUGUGUUUGAUGUGUGAAGUCGCUGUAGCCUCAUCGAACGCUUCGCCUUGGCGGCCGGCUGGGAGAACUUAUUAGGCCUCCCACCGGCAGUGGGACUGAGGAUGAGGGACCAUCUGCAGCGUCGUGGAAGUGGUUCUCCUUGAUGAAGGAGGAAGGCCUCGUCCUGAGAGGAGAGCCCUUCCACAUCCUCUGCACCAUCCCCUACCUCAGUGCCACCACAGCGGACAGGGGAAGAGGAGGAGACAGAAGCCAAGGGGCCACGGCGGGGUGGCCUUUUCAGUCUCCUCCAGCAGGCAGAGAGGAGGAGAGGGCCAGGAGAGAGGAAGAAAGAGGACAAAGGGGGAGCAACGAGAGAGCCAUUUGUCUGACAGUUGGAGCUGACAAGAAACCACAGUUUUGUCCUCGCAGACGAACGCCACUUUGCUCAUCC
Oryzias melastigma (Indian medaka) is the source of this 1156-nucleotide long non-coding RNA. RefSeq lists it as uncharacterized. The transcript is spliced from 8 exons. NCBI's taxonomy places the organism in Eukaryota, Metazoa, Chordata, Actinopteri, Beloniformes, Adrianichthyidae. The record is from RefSeq and is a predicted model, not a curated record.